GACCAGCCUGAGCCUAUUAAUCAGCCUAAGGUAAGUGCUGCUUCCAUCUCAUAUUUUAAUCUCCUCCUUUCUGCUGUGUUAAAGAAAUUAUAUCUGUGGCUUAAAUAACAUUUAGAAAUGAAAUUGUUUGCCAAGUGAAUGAGACAAUCAAACCAGUCGUUUAGAGUUGGGGAUUAAAUAUGAAUCUCAUUUACCUUUAUUAUCCGUGCAUUUCUCGCUAAUCAUCAUAACUCAGACUAUUUAAACUUCAUUGAAAAUGUAGCCAGUAAUGGAGUGCCAUUAAUAUUUGUUUGUGAUGAUUCCAGCCUGAGCUGAGCAAAUCUUAAGAAAGCCAGCCCAUCUUCUCUUGUGUUUGGGAAGCAGGGAGAAGCCAAGUUGGAGGAUCUGGCCUGCCCUGCUUCAGUGGCUUCAUGCACAUUCAGAUUACAAUUGCCAACUUUCUUCCCAAGCAUCUCUUCCUUGCAAAAGGGUAUCAGUAGAACGAAGCUUUCCAAGAGAAAAAUGCUCCAAUGCCUGCCUCCAUGUUGAAGUAUCUUUAAGAGUCAGCUUUCUAGCAAUAAAUGCCACCAAGCUAGUUAACUGAGACCACCAACUGCAGAAGGAUUUCCAGUUGGAAAUUUCAUGGAGGCAGACUCCUCCCGCCCCCACCUUGAGCCCUUUUAAUCUCAUCACCCAUUCCCUCCAAUGUGGUAGGAAGAGACUGGGUGGCAAGUGUAUUUAAGACUCCAAGGAAAAGGGCUGUAAAGUCAACCUUGGUAACUUAACUGAAACAGUAUAUGUGUAAAUCCAUCGAAAAUCCCUGGCCUUUUACAACUCCUGUCCCAAUGGAAAUCAGAUCAUAGGACUAUUUACAAGAGACCACGAUUCAUUUGGAUAAAGACCCAUGACAGCACAGCCCAGGAUUAUUUGAAAUUUUAGUAACCUAAGCUUUAAAAAUAUUCUAAAAGCAAAAUAAUGAGGGGCAGGUAAUUGCCACGAGCUAAUUACUUAUGAUAUUUCAUAUACAUAAUCGGCGAACAAUCUCCAUAAAUGUCAGCUCAUGGCACUUUGGCAAUCACUUGUAAUUUUUAUUGUUUAAAGAAAUGUCAACAUUUCCAUUUUCCCCAACUUCAGUUAACCUGGGCCCUACCCACGGUUAAAUGGGCCCCCGGAAGAGCGCUUCACCCGGCCGUUUCAGAGCGUUCCACAAUUUCAUAGCUGAGCCAGUCCCUGGUUUACCUACAGUUUUGCUACUAAAAGAAAACAAAAACAAAAACAAAAAAACCAAGCAUGAAAUGCGUACAGAGGAGUUUAAAUGUUAAAAUGCAAGAUGAUAGAUGCGUUCCUGAUUUUCUGAACAAACAGAUUUUACUCACAUUUCAGUUAGUCAUUUCAUAAGCGUGGGAGAAAUUUUCAGGAGAUCCACAAAUUUGUUUUGUUGGUUUGUUCUUUUUUCAGUUCUUUUUUAGCCACUUGGAAAUCAUUACUGUGAACAAAGGAACUCCACCAAAAGACUCCUUAACAGUCCAAAGAGAAGAAAGAGGGCAGAAGGUUAUGGUCAGGGUGGACAAGACCAGACCCCAAGUGGAUCUGAAGCCCACCAGCACAGCCAAGGUGUUUCCAAUUGCUCACUGCCUUCUCUGCACUCUGCCUCCAGCACCAGCG
RNAcentral lists this long non-coding RNA (1644 nucleotides) under Lynx pardinus (Iberian lynx). Lineage: Eukaryota; Metazoa; Chordata; Mammalia; Carnivora; Felidae. The record is from RNAcentral.